UUCUAUGGCCAUGCCACCCUAAACGUGCCCGAUCUCGUCUGACCUCGGAAGCUAAGCAGGAUUGGGCCUGGUUAGUACUUGGAUGGGAGACCACCUAGGAAUACCAGGUGCUGUAGGCA
This 119-nucleotide ribosomal RNA is filed under the name Pteropus alecto (black flying fox). The record is from RNAcentral. Lineage: Eukaryota; Metazoa; Chordata; Mammalia; Chiroptera; Pteropodidae.